RNAcentral lists this ribosomal RNA (585 nucleotides) under Alternaria sp. zzz407. RNAcentral's name for it is "eukaryotic LSU rRNA". The stretch from base 208 to 361 matches the Rfam family "5.8S ribosomal RNA". The record is from RNAcentral. Lineage: Eukaryota; Fungi; Ascomycota; Dothideomycetes; Pleosporales; Pleosporaceae.
CACUGUUCCUGGUCUCCGUAGGUGACCUGCGGAGGGUCAUUACACAAAUAUGAAGGCGGGCUGGAACCUCUCGGGGUUACAGCCUUGCUGAAUUAUUCACCCUUGUCUUUUGCGUACUUCUUGUUUCCUUGGUGGGUUCGCCCACCACUAGGACAAACAUAAACCUUUUGUAAUUGCAAUCAGCGUCAGUAACAAAUUAAUAAUUACAACUUUCAACAACGGAUCUCUUGGUUCUGGCAUCGAUGAAGAACGCAGCGAAAUGCGAUAAGUAGUGUGAAUUGCAGAAUUCAGUGAAUCAUCGAAUCUUUGAACGCACAUUGCGCCCUUUGGUAUUCCAAAGGGCAUGCCUGUUCGAGCGUCAUUUGUACCCUCAAGCUUUGCUUGGUGUUGGGCGUCUUGUCUCUAGCUUUGCUGGAGACUCGCCUUAAAGUAAUUGGCAGCCGGCCUACUGGUUUCGGAGCGCAGCACAAGUCGCACUCUCUAUCAGCAAAGGUCUAGCAUCCACUAAGCCUUUUUUUCAACUUUUGACCUCGGAUCAGGUAGGGAUACCCGCUGAACUUAAGCAUAUCAUAAACCGGGAAGGAA